CCUACGGGUGGCUGCAGUGGGGAAUAUUGGACAAUGGGGGCAACCCUGAUCCAGCCAUGCCGCGUGUGUGAAGAAGGCCCUCGGGUUGUAAAGCACUUUCAGUGAGGAAGAACGCCUGGUGGUUAAUACCCAUCAGGAAAGACAUCACUCACAGAAGAAGCACCGGCUAACUCCGUGCCAGCAGCCGCGGUAAUACGGAGGGUGCGAGCGUUAAUCGGAAUUACUGGGCGUAAAGCGCGCAUAGGUGGCUUGAUAAGCCGGUUGUGAAAGCCCCGGGCUCAACCUGGGAACGGCAUCCGGAACUGUCAAGCUAGAGUGCAGGAGAGGAAGGUAGAAUUCCCGGUGUAGCGGUGAAAUGCGUAGAGAUCGGGAGGAAUACCAGUGGCGAAGGCGGCCUUCUGGACUGACACUGACACUGAGGUGCGAAAGCGUGGGUAGCAAACAGGAUUAGAUACCCUGGUAGUC
Molecule: ribosomal RNA, 465 nt
Filed under: Vreelandella stevensii
Lineage: Bacteria; Pseudomonadati; Pseudomonadota; Gammaproteobacteria; Oceanospirillales; Halomonadaceae
Description: partial 16S ribosomal RNA
Rfam family: Bacterial small subunit ribosomal RNA
Source: RNAcentral